Pseudophryne corroboree (corroboree frog) is the source of this 1680-nucleotide long non-coding RNA. RefSeq lists it as uncharacterized. The record is from RefSeq and is a predicted model, not a curated record. NCBI's taxonomy places the organism in Eukaryota, Metazoa, Chordata, Amphibia, Anura, Myobatrachidae. The transcript is spliced from 4 exons.
GGACACAACUGAGCCAGCUGUCUGAACUUAGUGUCUUUGUAAAUGCUAACUAGCAUAAAACAUAUACCAUCUUAUAACAUCUCAUAGCCAAGGCAUCAUAGCAUAGUCAUCAUGCAAUAACACACGCCCCAAACUGAUACUGCAGCACCUCUCCUGUCCUGACACGACUGGAAACUUGGAAAGAAGCCUCAUAUUGUGAUGUAAGGAAGUGAUAUCUGAGGAAAUGAGGAGUACAGGAUACAGCUCUGAAUCUCUGCACUUAUGCAUCCGCUAAAUCCUACCUGCAACUCCUAAACCACAUUGUCCUGCAGUUCCUGACCAUGCUUCCUGAAUCGUCCUUUGUGAUAUCUGUAGUGUCCGUUUGCUUUCUCUACACCUUCCAGGACUUUCCUUUUCUUUUCCUUUGAAACAACUAUUCAUCUACAGCCAAGAGAGACCUCCCGUUUAUCAGGACGGGCCAAUAACCCUAUGUGCAGUGUUCAAGUUCAACUAUUAAUAUAAAAUUCAGAACAACAGGAUUAACGAGGCUCCCACACCCAUAUACACCGAGUGAGGUGUGAUGUAAGAUUCAGCUGGGAGAAGCCUUUGAAAGUCCCAGGAGUGAAGAAUGAGUAGCUGCAGUUGUCUGCGCCCAGAGACUGACUCAGAGGAUGAGUAUAAAGAGAGCACAGAGAAAAUACAAAAGGUGCCAGAAGAGGAAGCGGUGGACGAGGUGGAUGGAGAUGUGAUCCUGGCUGCAGCUGUGGUGGCACAAAAAUCUCAGAGCAAUCAACGAGAACGUGAAAAGGAACGUCAGAAAAUAAGGGAUCGAGAACGAAAGAGAGAAAAUGAAAGACAGAAGGAAAGAGAGAGAAACACGGAGAGAGACAGAGAAAGGAGGAGGCAAAGAGAAAGACAGAGACAAGCUGAGAAACAGAGACAGAGACAAACAGAAAAAGAGAGGAAGAAAAAAAGGAAGUAGGAUGACAUUUUAGUUUGUGUAGCUCAUUCUAGCAACACCUGUGUUACUCCUUAUUACACAUCAUAGCAGAUCCACAUUCAUGCCUAUCCAUCUUACUAUAAAGUCCAUAGAUAGUCCCUCCCAACCCUAAGGACUUAUAUAAUUAAUCAUAUUACUUAAGUUGCUGAGUGAUUGUUGUCCCUUAUUGGACAAACCAUUUGUAUAAAGCCAAUUGUACAUGCCCCAGUGUAAGUGUGCAUGGCAGAGUGCUGUUCUUCCACAUUUCUUAGCAGUAUAAAUAUCCCAACUGUCUGGCCUUAAAUUGUCUCUUCUUGUCAAUCUUGGCACCCAUUUGCCCACCUCUGUGACCCUCAGUUAAAUGAAAUGAGGAUCCAGCUCAUGCACAUUCUCAUUGUUCUAGAGGACCCCGUCCAUCCUUAGUGUUUCAUAAGAGCUCUAUGGGUCUCUGCCAUGCAGGUAUUCUUUAACACUAUGGACAGAUUGUUGUGUGCUGAUGAGAAGCAAAAGAAGCAAGUUGGAUAAUUUUCUUGUGGGACCUUUUAUUUCGGGCACAGAAUAGGUUGGGAAGGGCUUAAACAAAAGUGCAUGUAUUUUGCCGAAUAUCAUUUAUGCUUUUAAAAAUACCUGUAAUCUCUGUAAGAUCCACGUUACAGCCUCUCUGUAUAGCAUCCAUAUUUCUGUAAAAAACGAAUAAAAUGUCACUAUUAUGUUAUCUCUUA